This 440-nucleotide long non-coding RNA is filed under the name Homo sapiens (human). RNAcentral's name for it is "HSALNT0110004". The record is from RNAcentral. Lineage: Eukaryota; Metazoa; Chordata; Mammalia; Primates; Hominidae.
UUUGUAGAAAGGGUCUUUGGUGACCAUUAUAACUCCCAAGAGAAUCUGAGGUGAGGAAAGAAUAUCAUUUAAGCAGAGUUUUCCUUCAAGGCGUGAAAUAACUGGUUUUUGCUAUUCAGGGCACUAACUACUCCAGUCCUUGUCACUUCAACUUUGGCCAGUUGCUGAUUAACUCCUCAGAGAAAUACCUAGAAGUGGAAUUGAUACAUAGACUCAAAUGUCCACCAAAAAGAUGGUACUAAUUUUCAGCAUCCCAUCAACAGUAUAUAAAUAUGACAGGUUCUCAACACAUGAAAACAAAAUUUGAAACAUUUUAACAUGUACUAAUGUAGUAGGUCAAAAAAACCUUAUUGCCAUUUUAAGUUGGAUUUUCUAUUUCUUCAGUUUUAAUUGACUGUAAAUACAUUUUUGUAUGCUUAUUGUUCAUUUUUGUAUUUUUC